Molecule: ribosomal RNA, 314 nt
Filed under: uncultured bacterium
Lineage: Bacteria
Description: bacterial SSU rRNA
Rfam family: Bacterial small subunit ribosomal RNA
Source: RNAcentral
GAUGAACGCUAGCGGCAGGCUUAACACAUGCAAGUCGAAGGGCAGCGGGGAGAGUGCUUGCACUCUCUGCCGGCGACUGGCGCACGGGUGAGUAACACGUAUGCAACCUGCCCUCCACAGGGGGACAACCUUCCGAAAGGGAGGCUAAUCCCGCGUAUAUCCCUUGGGGGCAUCCUUGGGGGAGGAAAGGAAUACCGGUGGAGGAUGGGCAUGCGGCGCAUUAGGCAGUAGGCGGGGUAACGGCCCACCUAACCGACGAUGCGUAGGGGUUCUGAGAGGAAGGUCCCCCACACUGGUACUGAGACACGGACCAG